CACGUAGUUAGCCGUGGCUUAUUCAUGAGGUACCGUCACUUCCCUCGUCCCUCAUAAAAGAAGUUUACAGCCCGAAAGCCUUCUUCCUUCACGCGGCGUUGCUGGGUCAGGCUUGCGCCCAUUGCCCAAUAUUCCCCACUGCUGCCUCCCGUAGGAGUCUGGGCCGUGUCUCAGUCCCAAUGUGGCCGGCCAACCUCUCAGUCCGGCUACUGAUCGUCGCCUAGGUGGGCCUUUACCCCGCUACUAGCUAAUCAGACGCGAGCUCAUCUCAGAGCGAUAAAUCUUUGACAACCACUGCCAUGCGACACAGUUGUAUUAUGCGGUAUUAGCACAGUUUUCACUGUGUUAUUCCCCAUCCAAGGUAGAUUGGCUCACGCGUUACUCACCCGUCCGCCACUAAGGACUUCCUCUCCAUCCGUACCGAAAACUUCUCGUACAAGGGUCCCUCCGUUCGACUUGCUAUGUGUUAAGCAACGGUCCCGCCGAGUCCGUUCACUCCUGACGUACGACGGAUAA
Molecule: ribosomal RNA, 516 nt
Filed under: uncultured Oscillospiraceae bacterium
Lineage: Bacteria; Bacillati; Bacillota; Clostridia; Eubacteriales; Oscillospiraceae
Description: partial 16S ribosomal RNA
Source: RNAcentral